GCCAGGCCAGGUGGCGCACACCUGUGAUCCCAGUGACUCAGGAGGCUGAGGCAGGAGGAUUGCAAGUUCAAGGCCAGCUUCAUCAAUUUAGUAAGACUCUAAGCAACUUAGCAAGAUCCUGUCUCAG
Molecule: small RNA, 127 nt
Filed under: Marmota monax (woodchuck)
Lineage: Eukaryota; Metazoa; Chordata; Mammalia; Rodentia; Sciuridae
Source: RNAcentral